GAUGAACGCUGGCGGCGUGCCUAAUACAUGCAAGUCGAGCGAACAGACGAGGAGCUUGCUCCUCUGAUGUUAGCGGCGGACGGGUGAGUAACACGUGGAUAACCUACCUAUAAGACUGGGAUAACUUCGGGAAACCGGAGCUAAUACCGGAUAACAUGUUGAACCGCAUGGUUCAACAGUGAAAGAUGGUCUUGCUGUCACUUAUAGAUGGAUCCGCGCCGCAUUAGCUAGUUGGUAAGGUAACGGCUUACCAAGGCAACGAUGCGUAGCCGACCUGAGAGGGUGAUCGGCCACACUGGAACUGAGACACGGUCCAGACUCCUACGGGAGGCAGCAGUAGGGAAUCUUCCGCAAUGGGCGAAAGCCUGACGGAGCAACGCCGCGUGAGUGAAGAAGGUCUUCGGAUCGUAAAACUCUGUUAUUAGGGAAGAACAAAUGUGUAAGUAACUAUGCACGUCUUGACGGUACCUAAUCAGAAAGCCACGGCUAACUACGUG
RNAcentral lists this ribosomal RNA (497 nucleotides) under uncultured bacterium. RNAcentral describes it as "partial 16S ribosomal RNA". It matches the Rfam family "Bacterial small subunit ribosomal RNA", at positions 28 to 507 of the family's 1533-position model. The record is from RNAcentral.